This is a non-coding RNA of Choloepus didactylus (southern two-toed sloth), 478 nucleotides long. The record is from the annotation of a RefSeq genome assembly. NCBI's taxonomy places the organism in Eukaryota, Metazoa, Chordata, Mammalia, Pilosa, Megalonychidae.
GGGAGCUUCACAGACUGUGUCCACCAUGGCCUGGACCCCUCUCCUCCUUGGGCUCCUCUCUUACUGCACAGGUUCCCUCUCCCAGCCAGUGAUGACCCAGCCGCCCUCCCUCUCUGCAUCCCUGGGAUCCUCUGUGAGACUCACCUGCACCCUCAGCAGUGGCUUCAGUGUUGGCAGCUAUACCAUAUCCUGGUACCAGCAGAAGCCAGGGAGCCCUCCCCAGUAUCUCCUGUACUACUACUCAGACUCAAGUAAGCACCAGGGCUCCGGGGUCCCCAGCCGCUUCUCUGGAUCCAAAGACACCUCGGCCAAUGCAGGCCUUUUGCUCAUCUCUGGGCUCCAGGCUGAAGAUGAGGCUGAAUAUUACUGUGCUAUUGCUCAUGGCAGUGGGAGCAGCUACAGUUCCUCACAGUGACUCAGAAGACGAGGAAGUGAGACAAAAACCCCUGGGCCCACAGAGCUUAGUUCUCUUUUCAAU